UGUGAUUAAAAAAAUACUUGAGUAGUAUGAGUUAUGUUCUUUAAACUUAAAGAAUUUGGCGGUGCUUUAGUCUGUUCAGAGGAACCUGUCCUGUAAUCGAUAGCCCACGUAGGAUCUUACUUAAUUUUGUUAUCAGCUUAUAUACCGCCGUCGUCAGAAUGUCUUUAGAAAGAUGGAAUUUUCUUAAAUUUUUAUUAAAAAUGAUGUCAGGUCAAGGUGUAGUUUAUAAUUAAGUAGUGAUGGGUUACAAUAAAUUUAUUUAAAUGGAUUAUUUUUUGAAAAAGGGGUAUGAAGGUGGAUUUGAGUGUAAUUUUGUUUAUAAUGUUAAUUUGAUUUUAGCUCUAAA
This 346-nucleotide ribosomal RNA is filed under the name Tyrrhenoleuctra tangerina. Its description in RNAcentral is "partial 12S ribosomal RNA". The record is from RNAcentral. Lineage: Eukaryota; Metazoa; Arthropoda; Insecta; Plecoptera; Leuctridae.